RNAcentral lists this ribosomal RNA (1372 nucleotides) under uncultured bacterium. Its description in RNAcentral is "bacterial SSU rRNA". It matches the Rfam family "Bacterial small subunit ribosomal RNA", at positions 28 to 1381 of the family's 1533-position model. The record is from RNAcentral.
GAUGAACGCUGGCGGCGUGCCUAAUACAUGCAAGUCGAGCGAACGGACGAGAAGCUUGCUUCUCUGAUGUUAGCGGCGGACGGGUGAGUAACGCGUGGAUAACCUACCUAUAAGACUGGGAUAACUUCGGGAAACCGGAGCUAAUACCGGAUAAUAUUUUGAACCGCAUGGUUCAAAAGUGAAAGACGGUCUUGCUGUCACUUAUAGAUGGAUCCGCGCUGCAUUAGCUAGUUGGUAAGGUAACGGCUUACCAAGGCAACGAUGCAUAGCCGACCUGAGAGGGUGAUCGGCCACACUGGAACUGAGACACGGUCCAGACUCCUACGGGAGGCAGCAGUAGGGAAUCUUCCGCAAUGGGCGAAAGCCUGACGGAGCAACGCCGCGUGAGUGAUGAAGGUCUUCGGAUCGUAAAACUCUGUUAUUAGGGAAGAACAUAUGUGUAAGUAACUGUGCACAUCUUGACGGUACCUAAUCAGAAAGCCACGGCUAACUACGUGCCAGCAGCCGCGGUAAUACGUAGGUGGCAAACGUUAUCCGGAAUUAUUGGGCGUAAAGCGCGCGUAGGCGGUUUUUUAAGUCUGAUGUGAAAGCCCACGGCUCAACCGUGGAGGGUCAUUGGAAACUGGAAAACUUGAGUGCAGAAGAGGAAAGUGGAAUUCCAUGUGUAGCGGUGAAAUGCGCAGAGAUAUGGAGGAACACCAGUGGCGAAGGCGACUUUCUGGUCUGUAACUGACGCUGAUGUGCGAAAGCGUGGGGAUCAAACAGGAUUAGAUACCCUGGUAGUCCACGCCGUAAACGAUGAGUGCUAAGUGUUAGGGGGUUUCCGCCCCUUAGUGCUGCAGCUAACGCAUUAAGCACUCCGCCUGGGGAGUACGACCGCAAGGUUGAAACUCAAAGGAAUUGACGGGGACCCGCACAAGCGGUGGAGCAUGUGGUUUAAUUCGAAGCAACGCGAAGAACCUUACCAAAUCUUGACAUCCUUUGACAACUCUAGAGAUAGAGCUUUCCCCUUCGGGGGACAAAGUGACAGGUGGUGCAUGGUUGUCGUCAGCUCGUGUCGUGAGAUGUUGGGUUAAGUCCCGCAACGAGCGCAACCCUUAAGCUUAGUUGCCAUCAUUAAGUUGGGCACUCUAAGUUGACUGCCGGUGACAAACCGGAGGAAGGUGGGGAUGACGUCAAAUCAUCAUGCCCCUUAUGAUUUGGGCUACACACGUGCUACAAUGGACAAUACAAAGGGCAGCGAAACCGUGAGGUCAAGCAAAUCCCAUAAAGUUGUUCUCAGUUCGGAUUGUAGUCUGCAACUCGACUACAUGAAGCUGGAAUCGCUAGUAAUCGUAGAUCAGCAUGCUACGGUGAAUACGUUCCCGGGUCU